This 448-nucleotide ribosomal RNA is filed under the name uncultured bacterium. Its description in RNAcentral is "SSU rRNA". It matches the Rfam family "Bacterial small subunit ribosomal RNA", at positions 26 to 518 of the family's 1533-position model. The record is from RNAcentral.
AGAACGAACGCUGGCGGCAGGCUUAACACAUGCAAGUCGAACGCUCGUAGCAAUACGGGAGUGGCAGACGGGUGAGUAACGCGUGGGAACGUACCUUUUGGUUCGGAACAACCCAGGGAAACUUGGGCUAAUACCGGAUAAGCCCUUACGGGGAAAGAUUUAUCGCCGAAAGAUCGGCCCGCGUCUGAUUAGCUAGUUGGUGAGGUAAUGGCUCACCAAGGCGACGAUCAGUAGCUGGUCUGAGAGGAUGAUCAGCCACAUUGGGACUGAGACACGGCCCAAACUCCUACGGGAGGCAGCAGUGGGGAAUAUUGGACAAUGGGCGCAAGCCUGAUCCAGCCAUGCCGCGUGAGUGAUGAAGGCCCUAGGGUUGUAAAGCUCUUUUGUGCGGGAAGAUAAUGACGGUACCGCAAGAAUAAGCCCCGGCUAACUUCGUGCCAGCAGCCGC